GGCGUAAAGCGCAUGCAGGUGGUUAUAUAAGUCAGAUGUGAAAGCCCCGGGCUCAACCUGGGAACUGCAUUUGAAACUGUGUAACUAGAGCUGUAGAGGGGGGUAGAAUUUC
RNAcentral lists this ribosomal RNA (112 nucleotides) under uncultured bacterium. Its description in RNAcentral is "partial 16S ribosomal RNA". It matches the Rfam family "Bacterial small subunit ribosomal RNA", at positions 557 to 670 of the family's 1533-position model. The record is from RNAcentral.